This is a long non-coding RNA of Nymphaea colorata (pocket water lily), 428 nucleotides long. RefSeq lists it as uncharacterized. The record is from RefSeq and is a predicted model, not a curated record. NCBI's taxonomy places the organism in Eukaryota, Viridiplantae, Streptophyta, Magnoliopsida, Nymphaeales, Nymphaeaceae. The transcript has 2 exons.
UGAAUGAUAUACCGCGUUAUUUCUUCGAGAUGAACUGAAAACGUUGCUUCCGGCCGAGCCUAGCAAUCAACCAACGACGUUGGUCCGAACCGUCCACGGCCCCUCCCCGAACCCUGACACGCUUACCCAAACCCCGGGAGCGGAAGAGGGAGAGAGAGAUGCUGAGAAGAAGCAGAUUUUUGAACAUCCCGAUGGUCAUGGGCGCUGUCCUGAUUGGAGUUGUCUCUGGCAAGGCAAUAUUCGGUCCUCCAUUGGAAGAGUACUGGAGAAAGAAGCUUGAAGAGGAGGCGAAGACGAAUGCUGAAACAAAGUAGCUUAAACUGACUCUUGCUAAGAUAAAGUUCACUCUGCUUAAUGGCAUAUCUUUAUGCUCUUAUAAUGUAAUUUUAUUGUUUCCAUUGAAAUGAAUAAAUAUGAUCUCUCGUCGC